GAUGAACGCUGGCGGCGUGCCUAAUACAUGCAAGUCGAGCGAACGGACGAGACGCUUGCUUUUCUGAUGUUUGCGGCGGACGGGUGAGUCACACGUGUAUAACCUACCUAUAAGACUGGUAUAACUUCGGGACACCGGCUCUAAUACCGGAUAAUCUUUUGCACCGCAUGGUUCAAUAGUGAAAGUCGGUCUUUCUGUCACUUCUCGCUGGAUCCGCGCUGCAUUAGCUAGUUGUUAAGGUCACGGCUUAUCAAGGCAACGAUGCAUAGCCGACCGGAGAGGGUGAUCGGCGACCCUGGAACUGAGACACGGUCCAGGGUCCUACGGGAGGCAGCAGUAGGGAAUCGUACGCAAUGGGCGGAAGCAUGACGGAGCAACGCCGCGUGAGUGAUGAAGGUCUUGGGAUCGUAAAACUCUGUUAUUAGGGAAGAACAUAUGUGUAAGGAACUGUGCACAUCUUGACGGUACCUAAUCAGAAAGCCACGGCUAACUACGUG
Molecule: ribosomal RNA, 497 nt
Filed under: uncultured bacterium
Lineage: Bacteria
Description: partial 16S ribosomal RNA
Rfam family: Bacterial small subunit ribosomal RNA
Source: RNAcentral